AGGCCUGAAAGGACCGCAACCCACCUGAGGGAAAGCAGGGCGUGUGUGUGCGUGCAGGUCUGUGCGUGGGGGGGCACCUCAUCGACGCAGCUGGGCACCUGCAAGCACAAGUUUCUGACAGAGGCACUAGGAGGAUUAACUGAAGUAAUGCAAAUAAAACGUGCAUUAAAAUAAGGCAAAGUAAACACAAAAUAACGCCCCACCCCAAAGUCCCUGCUACAAAGAAGACAUUUCCCCCAGGGGUUUCAAAUAUCAACGGCAAGAUCCCUUUUCUGGUUAAGGGGACAUUUUCCAAACACUUCUUGCCGCCUCGGUGGAAACCCCCUCCCCGCCAGGCUUGGGAUCCCAGAAAGACUCCUGGGCCACCCCGGUACCCUCCUGCGGAUUGACACGGGUCCUUCAAGUCCAGGAUACAGGUCAGACCCCAGUCAGAAGUCACUCCUCCCUCACCUGCCCGGCACCUGGGCACAAGGCACCGUCGGGGUUCUGGCAGAUGGAGCCGACCCCAGGGUGCAGGGCAUCCUCGCCGCUUUCAGCCCAGCACAGGAGGAUCCGCGGGGGUCCCAGCCCACGCUCCUCUUGCCCACAAGGCCAGGCAUCUCAGGGGUCACCCCACACCCCACUCACGACUUUGGCCAGAAAGAGAAGCUUGUCGCAUCCACCCCCAGCGCCAGGCCCUUCCCAGCACUCCCGUCUCGGCAGGAAUCCCCGCCGCUGUCUGGGAGCGACCCCCUCUGCCACCUCCGCCCCACAGGCCCCGCCCCUCCCAGGCGGGGCCACCGCAUCCUACGUCCUCUUGCUUCUGCUGGGCACAGAGCGCGUCUGGGCAUUCAGACCCAGACGCGGCCGCGCCUAACUGCGCUCUGUCGGCCACCUGCGGCCCCGCGGCCCUGACCCCGCGGCGCGGAAUCUGGGUUAGGAAGCCGGCGAGGCAGGUGGCAGGGGGCGCGGCUCCGAGGAAGUUGUGAGCCAGGAGCCCGGCCACGUGGAGUCUCAGAUCUUCUUUUGGUUUCCUUUCGACAAGCAGUUACUGGAUGUCUGGGUGUUGGCGGAAGUGUGAUGGAUAAUUCGAGACAUCGGAAUACAGAGCAGGAGGAAGGCUGUAUAAACCGGCCCCGAGGACACAGGACCCAGCGAACACUGGUUACGCGUUUGCUUUCCUGUCUCCAUGUGACCGCCUUCCAGCCUUUGAGGUCUCACAUCGCCACCCCAGCUGAAGAUAGCAUUUACAGGGAAAGUUUUGGCCAUUUUGGCGAGUUACUCAGUUUUCCUGGGUCUCUGCCAUGGAUAUGUUUUUAAACUUUUCUUUGAUUUUUGUUGUUGUUGUUGUUAAUCUAUCUCAGCUUCUGCUUCUGCUCCAUGGCUGGGCGACACACCGGAGUGGCUCUGGGUCUCUGUCUCUGCAGCGGAAGGAAGAUUGCAAGAUGUCAGCCGAGGGCCAAGCAGGUGGAAAAUAAGUCGUGUUAUCUGUCUGGCGGUUGAUCUCGCCAGCCCUGGGCUCCACUGCCAGAGGUGAGUCGUCCACAGGGGCUCUGUGGUUUAUGAGCUAACCAUCUCUUGCGGUGCCACCUCCCAACAGCACGCUUUUAGGUAAAAUAAUGUCCUUGUUGGUGUGUCUCGUUGCGGAUGUCAGUAGAAACAGAAGUGAAGGUUGGAAAUCCCCUGCCAGGUACCUGUGUUCCUGGUGCAGAACACGCAAGGAUGCUGGCAGUCGUGUUCAUGCGCCCGGGUGGUGUAUGGAGUGGGUCCUGGGGCACUGGGACAGAGGUUCAUUCAGCAAGUGUUCUAUCAUAGUGUGGCUUCCUGGGGGAGCCGAUUCCCAAUAAGGGAUUUGAGAGCAAGUCCUUUAUUGGGGAGCUGAAGUGAGGAAGUAAAACAGAGAAUGAAGGAGGCCACUAAAGGGGGGGCUUGUCAAGUCAGCUGCCCCUGAGGGGGCGUCACCAUGCUGGGAAACUUCGGGAUCCAGUGCAGAACGCAUGGCUCAGAGCUACCCCACCCACGGGACUUCUGUCCUGCUGCCGCAGUAGGCAGAGCCGGCUUUGGUGGCUCAAGGAAAUACCCAGACAAAGGGGCACAGGUCCUGGUGGCUGGAGGUGGGACCAGCCUGGACUGAGGUGACGAGAACUAGAGGCUCUGGUGGGACAGUGACAGCAGCUGCUAUGUGUUCCUUGAGGAUGUCCUGUGUGCCAGGCACAGUCAUGGAAUGGGCACUGAGACGGAUUUUGUCUCUGUUUUCACGGCACUUGGAGCUGGUGGAGGAGACAAACCGGUAACCAGGCAGCGCCUCAAAGACGGGGAAUCAUGUGAUGGUGGAAGAGAGGAGCACAUCAGGGAAGGGCUCCGAAGCCACACCCGUGUUGGGACCUGCACUUGUCCCAGCCGGGAGGAGCAGCAGGUGCAAAGGUCCUGAGGCACGGUCUCCGGGAUGAAUCGAAGUGUUCUGGGGCAAAGGGGACGUGGUCCUGAUGCAGGUAAAGGCCUACGUGGGAGGAUAGAAGGUGAUAAUGGAGAGAUGCACAGAUUGGGAGAUAGAGUGAUAGAUGGAUAGAUAGAGAUGGACGGAUGGCUGGAUAAACGGCCAGAGAGGUAAUAGAUAAAGGAGUGAGCUGGACAGAUGGGUGGAUGGAUGGAUGGAUGAUGGAGGGAGAGAGGAAUAUUCGACAAGGCCCAGAAGGGUCAGGAGGCGGAGGACUUUGGAUGUCGGGAUAAAUAGUGUGCUGGCGUCUGAGUGCAGAUCCACGCCUGAGGUUGAGGUGAGAAGUUUGGGGCAGAAGGCAGGUUGCAGAGAUGCAGAUCAAAGAGUCUAGGCUAAAGUGGGGACCACGGUAGGAGAGAAAGAAAUAAAUUUGAGACACCGCAGACCCCAGGCGGGACAGGCAGCAGUUGGGGAGAGCGUCUGGAGUGACGAGAAGGGCAGCAGAGGCAAAGUUCAGAGUCUGGGUUUCGGGAGGAAGAGGAGCCCUCGAAGCAGACGGCAAACCUCUGUCUGUCUGUCCACAGUCAGGUCAGAGCUCGGUGGCGGGACCGUUUCAGGUCCGCGAGGUCCCGAACGUGGGCCGAUCCUCAGCGGUGCUGGUGAGCGGGGGGAGGCGGGACAGACGCUGAAGAUUACGGCAAAGAGAAGCUCGGAGACUUGGGGUGGGUUUUGCUCAUCUGUGUCGCGGAGGCCUCGACCCCGAGAGCUGCCCCUGUUCCUGUCCCCAGUGGUGACAAGAGUGACAUCGCCUCCAUGAAACCUGUGCUGCCCCGCUUCAUUAAGAGGAGAGAGAGAGAGAGAGAUGGCCUUUCAGGUCAGGAUGUUACAGGGAUGAGAAAGGAGACAGUAAGAGAAAAACAGCCCCGCAGCGCACCAUUCAUCCCACUCUCUCUCUCCCUCAUCUCGCCCAACUGGUACCCGAACGUUGGGGAUAAGAAGUGUGGGCGCCGGCGGGUGGCACCUGUGGCAGGUCUUCUCCCUCCGCGACACAGGAAUCAGUACGGCCACGUGCUGGUCUCCCCGUAACCCCCGUUCUUUACUCUGGGGAGUCGGGGCUCCACGCUGCUCGCGUUCCCAGGGCCGCAGCCAGACGCCUGGUGCAGUUGCUGCAGACUCAGAGGCAUCUCUCAGAAACCCGUGACCGAGGUCCUUCUGCUGUUACAUCCGAGGCUGAGGCCGCCCUUGCCCGGCGCGUCUCCCCUGGUCCCUUCGUCCUCCUGUGGAAGGCGCUGUUGACCAUCACCCGGAAUCCCGGCUCCCGGCCGCAGAGGAGUCGGGUCAGGCUUCGUUAGGACUCACACGCGUUCCUGCUUCAUCCGGUUCGUGGGAAGUUCCCCGAGCAUCUCAGGGCUGCAUGUGGGGCCAGACAGAUGGGGAACGGCCCAUCGGCCACCACGGCCCAUCCGCCUGUGACCCGUCCUAAGGAGCUUCAGUGUAGGGGCUGGGGACGUGGGAAGGGGUCAUGACGUGGCUCUAGGGCUCCCGAAACCAAGUGCCGUAGGUGUGGGCGGGGCGGGGGCGUGGCGCUCAAACACAGAAAUUUACCGUCUCCGCGGGCUGAGUCCAGAAUCAAGGCAGGUGUCACGAGGAGGGGACACGGACCAGGAAGCGGGAGUAGGACACUGACAGGUGGAGAGAGGCCUCCAGACGGGGAGCAUCGUGAUACUAUGACCUCUUUAGAGAAAAAUAACAGGAAAGGCUCUGACCUCAGGGGCCGUGUGGCUCCAGACCACAGAGUGUCCGUGUCACGAAUACUGAUGCGAUCACAGCUAAAUCCCAAGCAGUGCUGACCCUGUGCCAGGCGCCUGGCAUGAGCUGAGCAUGAACUUUCUCUUAACUCUGCAGCCUAACGAGGCCAGGGAGGGCAUGGCCUUUCUUGCACCGACAGGCAGCUGGGCUUCGGACAGUCCAAUGACAUGCCCAAGGUCCCACAGCUGGCAGCCCUUGCCCCAGGCCUGUGCCCCACAGCCCAGGCCCUGCCCUGCCGCUGGCAGACGGGGUCUGAUCCCUUGCAAGGCUGCCCAAAGUGGCUGAGCUCUUAAAAUAAAACAGAUUCUCAGAGCCCACCCCCAGAAAUGGGAUUUGGCGCGUCUGGGGAGAGGCCACUGCUGUGCGUUCAGAGCCUUCGUGGUGGUUCUGAUGGGAAACAAGGACAGAAGUUCUAGCUUUGUGGGGUGGAUUCUGUGCUGACCAACUCCCCCCCCAGCGGGGGAGGGGGGUCCUUGAAGUUCCAUCUUGGUGGGAAGGAGGCGCGGCAAAACCUAAAAGACGGGGCUUCUGUGCUUGGUUCUGCCGCCAACCAGCUGUCUGCUUUUGGAUGAGUCCUGUGGUCUCUCUGGGGUUUAGUUCUUGGUGUGUCACAGUGGGUGUGGACCAGAGGACCCCUGAGAUGGCCUCGGGCUUCAUCAGGCGACUGAUCCGCUGAGCUGCAGCAUCAGGAGAUGACAGAUUCCGUAACGGAAGCUGAGACGUCUGUGUGCGUUUUCUCAGGCUCCGGAAACCAAGUACCAUAGCCGGGCCUGAAACCACAGAAACUCAGCGUCACUGCUGCGGAGGCUGGAGUUUAAAACCAAGGUGUUGCUUCUGCGCCGGAAGGGAGACUCUGCGCCCGGGCUGCCCCCUGCCUCAGAUGGCCCACGUCUCAUCUCCAGGAAAGAGCACCAGCACCCCUGCUCCCUGCCAUGGGGGAGCACGUCCACUCCAGGGCCUGCCGGGUGGGCACCAGCACGCAGCUGUCUCUCUGCCCCCUGACCCGGGGGUGCCUGGGAGCCUGGCCACCUGGCUCCAGGUGAGGCAGCAGCCUGCCCCUGUGGCUGGGGAGCAGGGAAUCCGCAGACUCCAUCAUGUCUUCUGGAGGGAUCGCUGGCUCUUGGCUCUUCUCGCCUUGGUCCCUUCCGUGGGGACCCCGCAUAAUGUGGGGUCAGGAGGUGUGGGGAGGGGGGACGUGGUCUGGGGCUCAGACAGAACAGGCCUAAGGGGUUUAGGAGCAUCCCGGUGGCCUCGCCUCCCAGCACCCACAUUUACACAUGGCUUCUCUGCAGUCCUGAGGCUCCAGCCAUAUCCUCUGACCUCUUCUCAGCAAGGCAGGUGCCAGGGAACGUCCAGGCUCCUGGGAGAGCCUGUGCUUCUCCCUCAAGAGUAGGAGGGAUUGUUCCAGAAGCUCAGGCGCCCGAGCACAGCCCCAAGUGCUGGCAGUCAUGACGGGUGUCCACCAGCCUCCUUAGGAAGACGUCCACCAGCUGCGGACACUUAAAUGUGCAAAAUAGGGCGCAUGUUCAAGGUGAUGGGCCGGUUCCUGCAGGGCCAGAGAAAGGGCGCCUCAGCUUCCAGAGCCGCUCCACUGAUAGCCAGGGAAUUCUACAGAGGCGAGGGCUCUGCUUUGCCGCAGGGUAAGGCAUUUAAAUGUUCUGAAGCCCAAAAGUGACUUCUAGAUGUGGUGGUGUGAACUUGGGGAGGCAGCUAGGACUUUAGCACCAGGCAAGCAGGGCCGAGGUCUUAAGUGGGACCCCAGACCAGCAGUAUCUGCACAGCGUGGCCUGGGAACUUGUUAGAAAUGGGAAUGCAGACCUGGGGCGGGGGGCGGGGGUGUGUGUGCCAGGGGUCAGGACCCCCCCAGGACAGAAGUCCGCACGUGGGGUUCAACGGGUGGUGUGGAUAAUAGAGAGUGAGAAGCUGUGUUUAGUUCACCACGACUGGCUUCCUGGGAGCAGUCGUGAGUUGGAGGAAGAAAAGGAGCCUAUGAUAAAAAUGGAAGGCAUACAUCCUUCCGGAACCCAAACAAUGCAACCGGAGUAACUUCCGGAACACAGCUGGGAGGCAGAGGCAGCAGGGAGGCUGGCCAGGUCCUGGCUGGGGGGACAGCCCCCUCUGGGGACUGUCAUCAUCGAUGCAUUGGUUCAUUCACAAAGAUUGGGGCGUGGAUGACGCGUCUCACGGGGUGUGCUCAGCCGACAUCAGGAUGCGAAUGGGUGUUUGCGCUGAGAAGCAAGGGAACAGGGUGAGAGGAGAGGGCGCUGGACAGACAGACGCUGGGCUCAGAGCUGGAAGCCAUCCGUAAAGCCCCAGCAGCCUCCGAGCCCAGGCCUCUGGAAGCACCUGGACGGGACCCGUCCGUCUCGGGCAUUCGCCCCGAAGUCAUCCAUGUGUCACAAGGCAGUGCACUUAUCUGGGUAAGAGUUCUGUCACAGUGAAGAGCUGAGUCACACCCGUCUCCUCACUAACAAGUUGCGGAAACAUGAAGCAGAGACGUUACAGUAAAAAUGGUGGAAGCUGGAGGCCCCCGAUGGCUCAGCGGGGUCAGGAUCUGGUGUCCUCACAGCUGUGGCUCGGGUUUGAUCCGUGGCCCAGGAACUUCCGGACUCUGAGGGUGCGGCCAAAAAAGAAAAAAAAAAAAAACUGGUGGAAGGAGUGUAUUUGGCACCUUUCUGUCUUAUCACCAUCGUGUGCCUUCCAACCCCUUCUCAAUGAUAAUGUUUUGAAUUUGACUGUGGGACGCUAAAAUGAAGCAACAGUGGAGUGUCUUGGUUCAGGUGUGACUGUUUGGGUGACAAGCUGUCAUUUCUUUUUCCGUGGGGAAAAAGAAUUAGUCUCCUCUUUGCGGUCCUGUCUGCGCUCAGGUGAUCCCAGCCCCAGAAGCAAGAGGCAUCUCAGUCUGUUGUGUCAUAUUGUCUCUGCAUCAUAACUUUUAGAUCAUGUCAGAUGGCCGUUUAACCAUCACCACCCUCAAUUAAAAAAUUGUCAAGAGUUUAAUGGGGCCUUCAAAAUCCAUUAGUUCAAAUAACGCAUUAUUGAAGGGCCGUCCCUCAACCACUAAAGCCGGCUCCAUGAGACAAUUUCACCGAGAGGCUCCAGGGAAAGUGCAUUUCAUUUAAGCAGCGUUUUGCUUGCCGUCUAGGAUUAUCAUAAAUGGGUAGGGAAUUCCUUGAAAUAAGGCUUAUUCUGGGCAUAGUCAAUCUGCUUUCAACCUUUGUGUACAAAUAGGGAUGUUUGUCAGAUAAGCUGGUUCUUUGCAGGGCGGGUUCCCCCCCACGAUUGUUUGGCAGUUAGUAGGCUCUAGCUUAACACAUUUUGGAAGGUUGUAGACAGGGUUCCAGGCUCAGGAUGGGCUCCGGUGUGAGCUGGGCAGAGAGGGACCUGCAAAAAUAGCACCUCUAAGCCCAGUGUGGCAGUUUCAAGUGCUGCCGGAGUGCGUCUUUGUCUAGCUGGAGGCUGCGCCGGGGUGAGUGACGUUUCAGUAAACUAGACCCGGCCACAGGCGGGCACGGGCACCAGAGCCAGGUUUUGGAGCUGCGGUGCAGAAAACACAGGCUGGGAGAGAAGCCUCGCAUGGGUCCUGAAGGACCUCAAGACAGGACCCAGUAAACAUGUGCGGAACCAGCCAGUGAAGGAGGUGCUGCAUCUGACUCCUGGAAGCCUCUUGUUACCCUCAGAAGCCCAGGACCCGCCCCGGCCAGCUGGCCAUCACUCACCACCGCAUUCUGGGGAGCUCUGGGGCAUCCUGAGCCUGUUGUGGAAGGAUGCCAACUUAGAACCGGUGAGCUGGCAGGAGGAGCAGCUAUUACCACUGCUCAAGGGGAGUGGGGGGUCUUCUGGGUUUCCAUCUGGGAAAACGCUUAUUUUUUGGCUGCCCGUGGCAUGCAGAAAUUCCCGGGCCAGGGAGCAAACUCAUGCCCCACCAGUGAUCCUUAACCCACUGAGCCACCAGGGAACUCCUAUAUUUUAGUUUGGUGUUAAAAGCACUUAUUAAGCCCCGGAACGCCUCUGAAGCUGAUAAAGGGUGACAACAACCAGUGGACUUCUUUGCUGCCAUGGCACCCAUUUGUACAAAAUCGUCUCCCCACGUGCGCCAAACACGCACCCUGCACAUGUGGCCCAAGAAGCAAACACUUCACUGAGCCUCUAGAGUCGACGCCUCCCAACGCCAUCCCACCAGACACUGAUGGUGACAUUACUAUGCAGCCAGGCGGGAGAAGCCAGAGGGUUUAUCUUGGAUCUCCUCCUGAACCUCCUCCUUGGGGCCAUCGCUCUGGCGAGGCCCUCCAGCCUCAAGCUCGGAUGGGACCUCAACCCCAGACACUGGGUGCCAGCAUCAUGAGAGCCCAAAUCACGUUCAAGAUGAAGAGCUCGGAGGACCAGGGCAGUGAAGGCAAAGGGGGAUGCGAUGAGUCAGCAUGUAGCGCCCUGCCGGGAAAGCAGGGUCGAGAAAACAGUACAGGAGAAGGGGUUACAGCAGGAGUUUCCCCGGGAGAGCCCCCUGGCCUGGAACUUCCUCGGCCAAACGAAACAGAAGUAAACUACAAUGUACACAAAUUGAGGAGCCAGAGUUGAAAACACCCAGGGUGGGUGCCCAGGAGAGGGGAACGGGGUGCCUCUGACCACCCCUGCAACCGCAGCUCCAGUGCCCCCAGACAGGCUUCUAGGUCCCAUCACCCAGCUGGAGGGGCAAGGAUGGCUCUGGCUGUCCUGUGGGCCAGGGACCAUCCACUCCCAGAAAGAGAGUGAGCGACGCUUGGCUGGGAAGCUGCCCUGAGCGAUGCAGGUGGCCCCACAUCCCCAGAGUGCACAGGCCGCCGGCUUCCAGGAGGACCUUCCGCCCCACGUCCUGUCACUAAACAGAUGCACCGCCUCCCCCUGCCCCCAGGCCCUGGCUGACUCUGCCACCCGUGUGGUCACAGGCCGCCGUCCUUUCUGGGGUCAGGAAUGGCUCAGCUCCCCAAGGGGACCCUCCUCAAGUCCAUCCUUUGCGGUCAGAGUCCUGGUCAAGGCAGGAAGGCUAUUCUGAGUAAUAUUCUCUCCCGCCCCUUGAGCCCCCGCAGCGCUGCUUCUCACUUAGGAUGGCAUAGCUCUCAGUUCUGGAGAAAAAAAAACAAAAAACAAACCAAACCGCUUUCUCAAGGGCAGUGGGGAUUUUGCUGCCUGUGCUGCCCAUGCAGCCUGCAGCCCGGGUGGCUCCUGUCACCUCUGUGAGGACUGCAUAGCCCGAGACAUGACAGGGGGCCUGAACUCCUAACACGGCAGUGACAUUCCAGACAGGCUGUGAACAUCUGCAGUACAUUUGAACAGAUAAAAAUUCCUGAUUAAGUGACGAGCUGGCGGUAUUGUGAACACAUGGGGAAAUGCUACCCAAAGGCCACCUGUCCCCAGCUGACCACACUCCCAGUGCCUUGACCUCGCGGGAAGUCAGCCUCCCCGCCCCCCACCGUCUCCCCCACCCGCGGGUCUCGAAGGACCGGGGGGGCAGCACAUUUUCCCAGCCCCAGCCCCUCUGGCUGGAGCUGCUGCGAGGCCGCUGGUCAGGAUGCUGACCAUCCCAGGGUGGAGAAGGGGCGGGCGGAGCGGAAAGCAGCGAUCGCUGGCCCGCAGGACUUACUUUUAUCUCCGGCCCCAGCAGGCCUGGCGGAAAGCUCUGGGUCUGCUGUCUGAAGGCCCGGGUCAGAGAUUCCGUCUCCUCCCAGCUGCCCGGCUGCUGAGACCCCACCCCCACCCCGGGACCUGCCUGAGCCUCCUCUUCUGUGAAGCAGGGGCUGGACCAGACCGGGAGUCUGGCUCCCAAACUAGAGAGUUUGUCAGGUUCAUCUGGGCACCAUGCGGAUGACAAGGACACCGGGGCAACUCCCAGAAGUUGACUUGAAAGCUCCCUGUGGAUGAUGCUGCGACGGCCUCUGGACCACAGAUGGGAGAACGCUGGACCACACAGCAGCCUUCCGGCCUCGGGCGUCUCUGAUGGGGCCCGGUUCUGUUACGGACCUGGAUUCUCUCUGGUUGGCUUGAGGCUCCAUUUCUUUUAAUAUACACAGACUAUUGUUUAAUUAAAAGGGAAUUCACAGUC
Sus scrofa (pig) is the source of this 10304-nucleotide non-coding RNA. NCBI's taxonomy places the organism in Eukaryota, Metazoa, Chordata, Mammalia, Artiodactyla, Suidae. The record is from RefSeq and is a predicted model, not a curated record.